This 502-nucleotide ribosomal RNA is filed under the name uncultured bacterium. Its description in RNAcentral is "partial 16S ribosomal RNA". It matches the Rfam family "Bacterial small subunit ribosomal RNA", at positions 30 to 523 of the family's 1533-position model. The record is from RNAcentral.
AUUGAACGCUGGCGGAAUGCUUUACACAUGCAAGUCGAACGGCAGCAUAGGUGCUUGCACCUGAUGGCGAGUGGCGAACGGGUGAGUAAUAUAUCGGAACGUGCCCAGUCGUUGGGGAUAACGUAGCGAAAGCUACGCUAAUACCGCAUACGAUCUAUGGAUGAAAGCGGGGGACCUUCGGGCCUCGCGCGAUUGGAGCGGCCGAUAUCAGAUUAGGUAGUUGGGGAGGUAAAGGCUCACCAAGCCGACGAUCUGUAGCUGGUCUGAGAGGACGACCAGCCACACUGGGACUGAGGCACGGCCCAGACUCCUACGGGAGGCAGCAGUGGGGAAUUUUGGACAAUGGACGCAAGUCUGAUCCAGCCAUUCCGCGUGCAGGACGAAGGCCUUCGGGUUGUAAACUGCUUUUGUACAGAACGAAAAGGUUUCUAUUAAUACUAGGGGCUCAUGACGGUACUGUAAGAAUAAGCACCGGCUAACUACGUGCCAGCCGCCGCGGUAA